GAUGAACGCUGGCGGCGUGCCUAAUACAUGCAAGUCGAGCGAACAGACGAGGAGCUUGCUCCUCUGACGUUAGCGGCGGACGGGUGAGUAACACGUGGAUAACCUACCUAUAAGACUGGGAUAACUUCGGGAAACCGGAGCUAAUACCGGAUAAUAUAUUGAACCGCAUGGUUCAAUAGUGAAAGACGGUUUUGCUGUCACUUAUAGAUGGAUCCGCGCCGCAUUAGCUAGUUGGUAAGGUAAGGGCUUACCAAGGCAACGAUGCGUAGCCGACCUGAGAGGGUGAUCGGCCACACUGGAACUGAGACACGGUCCAGACUCCUACGGGAGGCAGCAGUAGGGAAUCUUCCGCAAUGGGCGAAAGCCUGACGGAGCAACGCCGCGUGAGUGAUGAAGUUCUUCGGAUCGUAAAACUCUGUUAUUAGGGAAGAACAAAUGUGUAAGUAACUAUGCACGUCUUGACGGUACCUAAUCAGAAAGCCACGGCUAACUACGUG
RNAcentral lists this ribosomal RNA (497 nucleotides) under uncultured bacterium. RNAcentral's name for it is "partial 16S ribosomal RNA". It matches the Rfam family "Bacterial small subunit ribosomal RNA", at positions 28 to 507 of the family's 1533-position model. The record is from RNAcentral.